RNAcentral lists this ribosomal RNA (687 nucleotides) under Megapodius reinwardt. RNAcentral describes it as "partial 12S small subunit ribosomal RNA". It matches the Rfam family "Bacterial small subunit ribosomal RNA", at positions 521 to 1494 of the family's 1533-position model. Lineage: Eukaryota; Metazoa; Chordata; Aves; Galliformes; Megapodiidae. The record is from RNAcentral.
UCAUACAAGAGGCCCAAAUUAACCGCAAUACUCGGCGUAAAGAGUGGUGAGAUGUUAUCUCAACAACUAAGACCAAAUUGCAACUAAGCUGUCAUAAGCCCACGGUGCAUCUAAACCCACCCUCAAAACGAUCUUAGCACCCACGACUAAUUUCAACCCACGAAAGCCGGGACACAAACUGGGAUUAGAUACCCCACUAUGCCCGGCCCUAAAUCUAGAUGCUUUAGCCCACCAAAGCAUUCGCCUGAGAACUACGAGCACAAACGCUUAAAACUCUAAGGACUUGGCGGUGUCCCAAACCCACCUAGAGGAGCCUGUUCUAUAAUCGAUAACCCACGAUACACCCAACCAUCUCUUGCCAACACAGCCUACAUACCGCCGUCCCCAGCUCACCUCCACUGAGAGCUAAAACAGUGAGCUCAACAGCUUAUCCCCGCUAGCAAGACAGGUCAAGGUAUAGCCCAUGAGAUGGAAGAAAUGGGCUACAUUUUCUAGCAUAGAAUAUUUACGGAAAAGGGCAUGAAACAGCCCCUAGAAGGAGGAUUUAGCAGUAAGGCAGGACAAUAAAGCCUGCCUUAAGCCUGGCCCUGGGACACGUACACACCGCCCGUCACCCUCCUCACAAGCCAUCCCAAUCAAUAAAUAAUCCACACAGCCCAAAGCUAGAGAUGAGGUAAGUCGUAACAA